This 1080-nucleotide unclassified non-coding RNA is filed under the name Hevea brasiliensis (rubber tree). The record is from RNAcentral. Lineage: Eukaryota; Viridiplantae; Streptophyta; Magnoliopsida; Malpighiales; Euphorbiaceae.
GGUUGUCAUUUCCAACUCUCGUCAAAGGAGCAAUUUGAGAUGAAAGAAUACUUGUAUGUGGCAUAUACUGGUUUAUGGUACCUUUUACAUGGGCCAAAGAAGGUAAGGAAUUUAGCAGAGAAUUUGACUGGGGUUUCCAAUAUGCAGCAGCAAUUGACUUGAGGUGCUGCUUGUGGCCAAAUGCAAACCGUGCUAGAGCUACAGCAACCUCUGCCCUAACAAGUGGGCUUCCAUCUGAAACAACACUUAGUAGGCUUCUAACAAUACUGAUUUCAGCUCUAAAUUUAUCGUCAUCAUCGCAUUCAUCAUCACCUGCAACACCAUCUCUGCAUGCAUCACCUCCAACACCAUCUCUGCAUGCAUCACCUCCAACAUCAAGCAAAGUACCUAAUGCGAAGACAGCAGAAGCCCUAACCUCAGGCUGGGGCUCAGAGAGUAAAGGAACAUAUAUAGCUGGCGCAUCUGCCUGCAAGCCUAUAAUUUGAGCCUCUGUGAAAUCCUCCCACAACUUUCCCAGACAAAGGCAAAGCCACUGAAGAAAUAAAGGCUCAUUUUGACCAUCAUUUGGCAUUGAACACUGAAGGUGUUUCAAGCACACUUGGACUACACCAGCUUCAAUACAAGCUUCUUGACCCCUUCUGUGCCCAUCAACAAUAACAGCCAAAACAAAUGCAGCCAUUGCUCGCUGUUCUGGAUAUGCUUCCAUGCUAUCAAGAAACCUGAUAAAAUAUGCAUGUCCACCAUCCUUAACAAGAUCAACCUGGCACGACUUAUCAAGUGCCAAAAUUUUUGUCCAUAUGAAGACAAGAAUUUGCCUUAGUUCUGGCGUCGUUGUUUGCAACAGCUUCAAAACGUAUGGAAAUAUUCCAACAGACAAGGCCAGGUCUACAGCCCAGGAUCCCAUAUCAAGGAAUCUCCCAAGAAGCACCAAUGCUUUAAACCGAUGGCAUUGACUAAGUAGAACCUGAAGAACAAUAGGCAACUGCUCUGGCGGCUUCUUUUCUUCAGACCCAUGAUCCAACCAAAUCUCAAAAGCCAUUAGCUGUUCUGUGAAAAAAGGACUUGGCUGGAACUCUGCAU